UUCUUUUUUCUGUCGACAACGUUCGACUCCUCUCUUGCGUUAUUGGACAGAGAGGAGCCUCCUUCUCUCUGCUUAGAUUGUAGGUUAACCCUCUCCUCAUCGAGUGGGGUUGUAUUUUUGUUUCUUUUGAUUUUGCUUUUCCUCUUGGCUUUACACAAAUCGGUGCUUACAGAUUGAGGGUUCCCUUGCAUGAAGGAUCUAGGAGCUUGCUUACUCAGAUUGUGUAUUUCUUCUUGUGGGGUUUUAUGGAUCCUAUGUAGUUAUGUUUUUAUUCUGUUUGAUUUUCGUUGUUUCUUUGUUCUGGAUUUAUGCUGUUGACAAGUUUGGAGGUUCUGUUAUCAUUGGUGAG
Molecule: long non-coding RNA, 349 nt
Filed under: Manihot esculenta (cassava)
Lineage: Eukaryota; Viridiplantae; Streptophyta; Magnoliopsida; Malpighiales; Euphorbiaceae
Description: long non-coding RNA (MESC_LNC009506)
Source: RNAcentral